This 245-nucleotide ribosomal RNA is filed under the name uncultured Acidovorax sp. RNAcentral describes it as "partial 16S ribosomal RNA". It matches the Rfam family "Bacterial small subunit ribosomal RNA", at positions 524 to 768 of the family's 1533-position model. The record is from RNAcentral. Lineage: Bacteria; Pseudomonadati; Pseudomonadota; Betaproteobacteria; Burkholderiales; Comamonadaceae.
UACGUAGGGUGCAAGCGUUAAUCGGAAUUACUGGGCGUAAAGCGUGCGCAGGCGGUUAUGUAAGACAGAUGUGAAAUCCCCGGGCUCAACCUGGGAACUGCAUUUGUGACUGCAUAGCUAGAGUACGGCAGAGGGGGAUGGAAUUCCGCGUGUAGCAGUGAAAUGCGUAGAUAUGCGGAGGAACACCGAUGGCGAAGGCAAUCCCCUGGGCCUGUACUGACGCUCAUGCACGAAAGCGUGGGGAG